This is a long non-coding RNA of Entelurus aequoreus (snake pipefish), 170 nucleotides long. RefSeq lists it as uncharacterized. The record is from RefSeq and is a predicted model, not a curated record. Lineage: Eukaryota; Metazoa; Chordata; Actinopteri; Syngnathiformes; Syngnathidae. The transcript has 3 exons.
ACCGACUACUAUGUGGACUCUUGCUCGAAAGUAUAGGUCCAAUUAUUUCUUGAGCGUAACAAAGGCCUCCACAAAUGAACAUCUUGCAGACAUAUGCAGGAAGAACGGACAACGGAUGAAAAGAAAAUAAGUGAUCGCUGUGAAGGACUACUGUCGUUUUGAAAUAAUCC